UUGCCCACGAAGGCGCGGGUGG
Molecule: microRNA, 22 nt
Filed under: Human betaherpesvirus 5
Lineage: Duplodnaviria; Heunggongvirae; Peploviricota; Herviviricetes; Herpesvirales; Orthoherpesviridae
Description: hcmv-miR-UL112
Source: RNAcentral